This is a long non-coding RNA of Gossypium raimondii (Peruvian cotton), 353 nucleotides long. RefSeq lists it as uncharacterized. The transcript is spliced from 2 exons. Lineage: Eukaryota; Viridiplantae; Streptophyta; Magnoliopsida; Malvales; Malvaceae. The record is from RefSeq and is a predicted model, not a curated record.
CUUUCAUUUUUCUUUUUCCUUCCCUCUUUUUUCCUUUUUCUUUUCUUCUUCGUUCGGCCCCCUAGCCCGAACUCACACUGCUGCUGCCUCCUUCACGCCGCCGCUCAUGCUCCUCCUCAGCUCGGUGGUGCGAUGGUGGCAGUAGAGGUGGAGGGGGGCACGCAAGAACACCGAUUGGGGGUGGUCUGACAUGCCCAGAAGGACCAAAAUGUAACGGGUGCAAAGUUUCUGGGGCAAAAAUGUAAUUUCAUGAAAAUAUGGGGUUAAAAUGUAAUUUAUAGAAAGUUUAGGGGCUCGAAUGUAAUUUACAAAAUAUUAGGGGUUAAAAUGUAAUUUUUAUUUUUUGCAUUUUA